AUGCCUGAUAACACAAAGCUGGGAAUAAAAUUAGGCUCACAACCUAUAGAUGAUUUCUCCAAUUCUAUUUGUACCUGCCUCUGUGGACCCUCCAGAUGUCUCCCAACGACUUAUGGGUGUUCCCCUAAAUUCCCAGAAGAGCUCACAGUCCGUUGUCUCGGCCACCGUGCCGCCGCCUGGUUUCCUCUCAUUCCCCCAGCUGCCGAGGAUCACAGGCCCUCUGGUGCUGCCUGUGGGUGUGGGUGUAGGAUGCUGAUGAAUGUAUGGUUCAGAGGAUGCAGCCUCUGCCACGCCGAGGCCAGCUGGGGUCACUCAGCUGCACCCUGUGGCCGGAAACGUCCCCGGACGCUGCUGGUGCGCCGGAGCGCCAGCCCUGCCAAGGUUUCACUCCCUACCGGGAUUUCUCAAAUCUGUUCUGGCUUCAUCUCCCAUCGGGGAAAAAAGGUACCCCCUCGGAGGCAGGAGAGGCAGGACCGGGAGGAAGAGGGGACCUCACCGGGCAAGGGGGACCGCACUUGCCGGCUGUUCCCCUUCUCACUCGCUACCCAGGGUAUUUUUAUCAGAAGAAACGGUAAUAAUAUCACAGUGCUCCUAGCACUUCCUCAGCUCUGCUUCUAGCGUUUUAUGGUGCAGCAACAUAAACCUAGGCCUUAUUGGCAUUUACAGGAGAGAUUCGGCUCCACUGAAAAUUCAGUGAACACCGUCAAGUCCCAAAUGUACAACUAAUGGAAGCCCAAUAUCUUCCCCAG
Molecule: long non-coding RNA, 749 nt
Filed under: Bos grunniens (domestic yak)
Lineage: Eukaryota; Metazoa; Chordata; Mammalia; Artiodactyla; Bovidae
Description: lncRNA (ENSBGRG00000017629.1)
Source: RNAcentral